CAGUGUUCUUUGUCGGAUUGUUAUUCAUGUUACGUGUUGUUGUCUGCCCGCGUGUCUGCCCGCGUGUCUGCCCGCGUGUCUGCCCGCGUGUCUGCCCAUCCCCUGAUUGUCCCCUGAUUGGUUUGUGUUUUGUUACUUUGUAUUUCUGUAUGUUUAUUAGCUUUUGUUAAUAAAGCUCUCUUUUUGGUUAAAAUCAUGAUCUGCGUCCUGCAAUUGGGUCCUCUCCUGAGACAUACCGUGACAGUACAAUCCGACCAAAAAAUGGACCCAGCAGUGCUUGACGACGAGGAUUAUUUUCAUCUUAAUGUCGAGAUAAUAUGUAUUUUGCGGGAAUGGAAAGAGGCCGCAUGUGGAAGGGACCAGCAGGCCCUUCUUCAAGAGGCCCGCAGGGAGGCAGCAAAGAAGCCCUGGUUGAGGAGUCUUUUGCCUGAGGUACUCAGGGAUUUCCUCAACCAUGCCAAUCGGUCUGCCUUUCCAUCAGCUCGGCAGACCCCGGCCGUCUCCCUGCCGCCUCUGCAGACCCCGGCCAUCUACUUGCCGUGUCCCUGCAGACCCCGGCCGCCUCUGCUGACCCCGGCCAUCUCCCUGCAGACCCCGGCCGUGUACUUGCCGCCUCUGCAGACCCCGGCCGUCUCCCUGCCGCCUCUGCAGACCCCGGCCAUCUCCCUGCCGCCUCUGCAGACCCCGGCCGCCUCUGCAGACCCCGGCCAUCUCCCUGCCGCCUCUGCAGACCCCGGCCGUCUACUUUCCACCUCUGAAGACCCCGGCCAUCUUCCUGCCGCCUCUGCAGACCCCAGCUGUUCCCCAGCUGCCCCUCGAGGCCCCAGCUGUUCCCCAGCUGCCCCUCGAGGCCCCAGCUGUUCCCCAGCUGCCCCUCGAGGUCCCAGCUGUUGGGCAGCGACAGCCUCUUGUUCCUGCUGCCGGGCCACAACAGCCCCCUAUUUCCGCUGUUGGGCCACGAAAGCCUCCACUUCCUGCUGCCGGACCUCCGCAGACUUCAGUUCCUGCUGCCGGACCUCCGCAGACUUCAGUUCCUGCUGCCGGACCUCCGCAGACUUCAGUUCCCGCUGCCGGACCUCCGCAGACUUCAGUUCCCGCUGCCAGCCUCCUGAGAGGCUCCGCGCCAGGCUCCGCGCCGGCCUCCGCGCCGGCCCCCGCCUCCUGAGUGGCUCCAGCCCAGGCUCGCCCCCCGCCUCCAGAGUGGUCCCGUCCGCCUUGCCGUCCUCCAGAGCAGUCUCCUGCCCCGCCUCCUGCGGGCCUUAGUGUUUUUUGUUACUUUGUAUUUCUGUAUGUUUAUUAGCUCUUGUUAAUAAAGCUCUCUUUUUGGUUAAAAUCAUCAUCUGCGUCCUGCAAUUGGGUCCUCUCCUGAGACAUACCUUGACAUAUUGACAUGGACAAAAAAAUCUAAU
RNAcentral lists this long non-coding RNA (1409 nucleotides) under Cottoperca gobio. RNAcentral describes it as "lncRNA (ENSCGOG00000022867.1)". Lineage: Eukaryota; Metazoa; Chordata; Actinopteri; Perciformes; Bovichtidae. The record is from RNAcentral.